This 1520-nucleotide ribosomal RNA is filed under the name Salmonella enterica subsp. enterica serovar Havana. Its description in RNAcentral is "bacterial SSU rRNA". It matches the Rfam family "Bacterial small subunit ribosomal RNA". Lineage: Bacteria; Pseudomonadati; Pseudomonadota; Gammaproteobacteria; Enterobacterales; Enterobacteriaceae. The record is from RNAcentral.
AGAGUUUGAUCAUGGCUCAGAUUGAACGCUGGCGGCAGGCCUAACACAUGCAAGUCGAACGGUAGCACAGAGAGCUUGCUCUCGGGUGACGAGUGGCGGACGGGUGAGUAAUGUCUGGGAAACUGCCUGAUGGAGGGGGAUAACUACUGGAAACGGUGGCUAAUACCGCAUAACGUCGCAAGACCAAAGAGGGGGACCUUCGGGCCUCUUGCCAUCAGAUGUGCCCAGAUGGGAUUAGCUUGUUGGUGAGGUAACGGCUCACCAAGGCGACGAUCCCUAGCUGGUCUGAGAGGAUGACCAGCCACACUGGAACUGAGACACGGUCCAGACUCCUACGGGAGGCAGCAGUGGGGAAUAUUGCACAAUGGGCGCAAGCCUGAUGCAGCCAUGCCGCGUGUAUGAAGAAGGCCUUCGGGUUGUAAAGUACUUUCAGCGGGGAGGAAGGUGUUGUGGUUAAUAACCACAGCAAUUGACGUUACCCGCAGAAGAAGCACCGGCUAACUCCGUGCCAGCAGCCGCGGUAAUACGGAGGGUGCAAGCGUUAAUCGGAAUUACUGGGCGUAAAGCGCACGCAGGCGGUCUGUCAAGUCGGAUGUGAAAUCCCCGGGCUCAACCUGGGAACUGCAUUCGAAACUGGCAGGCUUGAGUCUUGUAGAGGGGGGUAGAAUUCCAGGUGUAGCGGUGAAAUGCGUAGAGAUCUGGAGGAAUACCGGUGGCGAAGGCGGCCCCCUGGACAAAGACUGACGCUCAGGUGCGAAAGCGUGGGGAGCAAACAGGAUUAGAUACCCUGGUAGUCCACGCCGUAAACGAUGUCUACUUGGAGGUUGUGCCCUUGAGGCGUGGCUUCCGGAGCUAACGCGUUAAGUAGACCGCCUGGGGAGUACGGCCGCAAGGUUAAAACUCAAAUGAAUUGACGGGGGCCCGCACAAGCGGUGGAGCAUGUGGUUUAAUUCGAUGCAACGCGAAGAACCUUACCUGGUCUUGACAUCCACAGAACUUUCCAGAGAUGGAUUGGUGCCUUCGGGAACUGUGAGACAGGUGCUGCAUGGCUGUCGUCAGCUCGUGUUGUGAAAUGUUGGGUUAAGUCCCGCAACGAGCGCAACCCUUAUCCUUUGUUGCCAGCGGUUAGGCCGGGAACUCAAAGGAGACUGCCAGUGAUAAACUGGAGGAAGGUGGGGAUGACGUCAAGUCAUCAUGGCCCUUACGACCAGGGCUACACACGUGCUACAAUGGCGCAUACAAAGAGAAGCGACCUCGCGAGAGCAAGCGGACCUCAUAAAGUGCGUCGUAGUCCGGAUUGGAGUCUGCAACUCGACUCCAUGAAGUCGGAAUCGCUAGUAAUCGUGGAUCAGAAUGCCACGGUGAAUACGUUCCCGGGCCUUGUACACACCGCCCGUCACACCAUGGGAGUGGGUUGCAAAAGAAGUAGGUAGCUUAACCUUCGGGAGGGCGCUUACCACUUUGUGAUUCAUGACUGGGGUGAAGUCGUAACAAGGUAACCGUAGGGGAACCUGCGGUUG